Molecule: long non-coding RNA, 780 nt
Organism: Cygnus olor (mute swan)
Lineage: Eukaryota; Metazoa; Chordata; Aves; Anseriformes; Anatidae
Exons: 3
Source: RefSeq, a predicted model, not a curated record
AGGGAAGUUUGGUGUGGAAAAAAGUUGUACAGGCAGUGGUCAGCAAAAGUUUAAUAAUUCUGAGUUCUCACUGGACAAGUGAAUUAAAUAAUUCAAGGCACUUUCACAGCUACUGCAUUCAAUUUAUGAGCCUAGAUUGCUGAUAUCACAUGUGGUUCAGGAAAAUCUGCACCAGUCCAUAUCAUUAUCACCUUCAAUUCAAACUCUCUUACAGCUACACUAGUUUGGGAAUGUUCAGUGUGAAAAUUAAGUUCCUUACAAAAGCAGAGCUGAACCACCACAGGAAUCCAGAAGCAACUGGAAAUUCACCGUGCCGAGUGCUGCACAAAUAGCUAGAGACGGUCCCUUCCCCAUGCAGCAGGAGAAACAGCAGCAAUCUUCUAAAACUGUGUGUCAAGAGUUCCGUUGAAUGAAACAACAAUCAGGUUUUCGUGAAAACAGAGAGGAAAGUAAACUGUGGCAGAAUAGAAGAGGAUGCUGUUCUCAGCCCCAGAGGGCAGGAAAGCCAAGCACGUGAGAAAUACCUGCUGAACUGAGUACAUUCACUCUUGGAAGAAAAAUGUUCUUUCAAUUUAGAAGUGUAUGUAAUUAUCCUCUUCCCCUCCCAGCACAUGUAAACAUAUCUGGCACCAGUUCUGGCCUUUACAGGAUGUUUUUAUGUCACUGUGGGGAAGAGGGGAAAAAAAUAAAAAUAAAAAAAUAAAAAUAAAAUAAAGCUGUAAAGGUCUUGAAUGAGCACUUGUGGUGUAAAAAAAGCUGUCACCAACAUAGAGAAUAGCC